RNAcentral lists this ribosomal RNA (133 nucleotides) under uncultured bacterium. RNAcentral's name for it is "partial 16S ribosomal RNA". It matches the Rfam family "Bacterial small subunit ribosomal RNA", at positions 356 to 501 of the family's 1533-position model. The record is from RNAcentral.
GGGGAAUUUUCCGCAAUGGGCGAAAGGCCCUGACGGAGCAAUACAGCGUGAGGGAAGACUGCCUAUGGGUUGUAAACCUCUUUUUUCAGGGAGGAAUAAAUGACGUGUACCUGAAGAAUAAGCAUCGGCUAAC